This 1182-nucleotide long non-coding RNA is filed under the name Monodelphis domestica (gray short-tailed opossum). RNAcentral describes it as "lncRNA (ENSMODG00000042091.1)". Lineage: Eukaryota; Metazoa; Chordata; Mammalia; Didelphimorphia; Didelphidae. The record is from RNAcentral.
GUGACAAUUGCGCCUCAGCUGGAUGGACAAACCAAGGGCUCGACCCCACCACCUUCCCCAGCCAAAGAACCGAGAGCCCAGCCCGAGAAUCAAGCGCGGCAGCUUGAGAGGUUCCCAGGACAGAUUCCCCUAGGCUCAUCCCCGGAGAUCUCCCUCCCCGGGUCCCGCAGAUAGCCAGGGUGCGACAAAGGCCAUUCCUCGGCCGCCCUGGCCUUCACAGGGAAUCCGAGAAAGGAUCCUGGGGCAGCAGAGGGGAGCUGGAAGAAGCUGGAUUGGAAUCCGGGUCCUCAAACUCCCCAGCCUUGUGCCCUUCUCCAUCCACUCAGCUCCAGGGCCUUUGUUGGGACCCCCAGCUCUUAGCACCCCGUCAGAUCCCGGUGAAAGAACAGAGCAUGAGUUUCCCCCUCUGCACAAGGUGGAGGAGUGUGCCGGAUAAUCCCCAAGGCCGCUCUCGGCUUCGACCUCCAAGGCGGGCCUCGUGAUGUCGUCUCAGCACGUACCAGGUGCCAGACAGGGCCAAGAGGGAUGCGGAUACACUUGUCGUAGGCCGACUGGGCUCCGCUGACCGUGGAAAAGGAUCAAGGAGCUAGGAGGGGCCGGAGUCAGCCCAGAGUGAGUACGCCUGCGCAAAGCCAGCCCGGACCAAGGAAAGACUAAGGGGAAAGAUGGAAUCUGCUGAAUGGGAGAGAGAACUCCUCGUCCUGAGAAUGUCCCGGAGGGAAGGAGGGAUAGGAAGUAGAGCAGUUCAGAGUGCGCCCCAAGGUAGAAAGUGGCUUUGCUGCUAGGGUCCUCAGGUCAUCGAUCAAUCAACAAGCAUUCAGAAGGCACCUACUAUGUGCCAGGCACCUUAUUAGGUGAGUGCUGAGGAUUCAAAAAAGUUAAAAACACUCUCUAUCAUCUAGGAGCUUACAGCCUAGCUGGAAAAGGCGAUCUAGACUGGAAAGCACAAAGGGAGAGGGGAGGAAUAGAAAGACAAAGGGGAGACCCACAGACAGAAACAAGAAAAUCGGAAGUGGGGUGGAAUGCCAAGGGAAAGAAGAAGGNNNNNNNNNNNNNNNNNNNNNNNNNNNNNNNNNNNNNNNNNNNNNNNNNNNNAAGGAAGGAAGGAAGGAAGGAAGGAAGGAAGGAAGGAAGGAAGGAAGGAAGGAAGGAAGGAAGGAAGGGAGGGAGGAGAGAGGAGGG